AAAGGAGACAGAAGCCUCAGGGCUCAAGGCUGAUCACCAAGAGAUGGAAGGGUGCGGAGACAGAUUCUGGAAAGGUCAGCCACAAAGAACACUGCCCAGAGCUGGAACCAGGGAGCCUGAGCUGGAUGCCAGGGACUAGAACUGCUGGUGACAGACUCUGCCAGCACCACCAGGCUCAGUAGCCAGAGCUUCAGGCUUAAUCUGCCUGAGUCAGCAAUGCAGGACUCAGACCCGUAUGCCAGGCGCAAGGCUCCCUGGACCCAGGCAAGGAGGAGGGUUCCUAAAUUAGAAUCGGAGUGCAAAGCUGGGGUCACACCUCAGAGCAAGGGUCAAGUGGGGAGCUGCUGCAGUCGGCGCGCCGGGGCGGCUCUGACAGGCUGGUGAGGAGCCGCCACCUUUGCCUCUGUUUACAGAAGGCAGACUGGAGACCUGUGACCCGGACACAUGGCUCAGUGGGGGAACCUCACUCCCGUGGGGCCCUCGGGGCAUGGAGCAGAGGCCCAUUUAGCUUCUUGCAGAGAGAGGGGGUGGGGGGCAGGGUGAAGGAGGAGAGCUGCAAGGGGCUGGGCUGGGGGACAGGCAAUUAAGGCUGCCUGAGCUGCCAGCAGAGCUGAUGCACGCCCUCCCCCUUGCGCUGCAGAGAGGGCCCCUUCCUUCAUUAGCUGCUAAGCUGCUCCCCAUCUCUAGCACCUCGGUGUGGCCUGGAGAGGCAGGGAUGGGCAACCAGCCUCAGGUGGCAUGGGAGCUGAUUAAUAAAAACACACAAAGAUGAAGGCUGUGCCCACUUCCACUCAGCCAGCUAUCUCAGAUAUCCAAGGCUCUUCCAGCCCCUUUUCUUGAAACGGUUUCCUUGCCUAGGGUCAGAAACAGGCUUGUGGACUCCAGCCCUUUGGCCAGAACCUGAGGCAUGGUGGGAGGGACAUUAGGAAAGGAGGGAAGCCCCAGAGGUUCCAGUUUGAAUUCCGUGACAAUGCAUAUCUGAUUGGUAGGGCGUGUUGGAGAAUUGAAGAUAAUUUUGAAAAACAGCUCAUAUUUUUGAGGGAUAUUCAGGUUCUCUUGUACCCCUCUGCAUAUAUCAUGGUUUAGUCAAUUAAGUACAAAUGAUAUUAAUAGAGCCCUAUGCCUGGGGUGCUGGUGCCCUGACAGGCUGCACCCUGGAAGGCAGGUGAAGCUGGGCAGGGUGCCCUUGAGUCCUAGAGCACAGGCACACUGGUUGACUUUGCAAAUGCUGGCCACUGCUCACUUGAAGAGGGUAAAAAGAAAUCUGGCACGAUCCAAGGAAGCCUGGAAGUUUCCAGAACAGGGGUGGUUGCUAGGUUCCUGUGGAAACUUUGGCUGCAGCCUAAACUUGAAGCUCCCCAUCUGUUGGAAGAUGGGGGACACUCUCUGGACUCUGGAUGGAUGGAUGGAAUCUGCCUGGAAUAUGAAGAUGGCUCUGUGUAUCUGUGCAGCCCCUGAGGGAGUGGGUGUGCGAGGCUGAGUGCCAAUUCCUCCCUCUGAGGCAGCUGCCUGCGUAAGGGUCCUGGCUCUAGUGGCUGGGCUGAUGCAUAAAGAACUGGGCCUUGUGGUCUCUGUUUGAGGUGCAGAGAAUCUCAGAGUGGGCAGAGAGCUUGGAGACACCUGGCUCUUCCUCUCCAUUUUAUAAACUGGGAACAUGGAUGCCUAGUAUGGAAAAUAACCUGAUGGUAAUCUAGGAAAGCUAAAUGCAGAGAAGAACCUUAUCCUGAGACUGAGGUCCUGAGAGAAGCUGGGAGCCCCCUAAAACAGAGUGCAAAAUUAUCACAAACGUGUGCAUUUUCCUGGAGAAUGGUUCUGGGGAGUGUCUACACAUCUGCAAGGUGCCCAACACCAGAGCUGGUUAGAAUGACUCACCUAACAGUGGAGCACGGGACGGAGGGGAAUGGAACCUGUUGCAUAAACCUUAACGCAGAGGAACUGUGUCUUCCUCCAAGGAUGGGUGGAUUCCACAGAGUCUGAUUCUGAAAGCUGAUAUCUAAACAGUUGUUAUGAAAAUACCAGAUCCCAGCAACUCAUCUCUAUUUCUCAUGGAACCGCCUUAGCAGGACCACUGCUCACUGAGCUAAAGAUAUUGAGGACUCCUCCUUGCCAAGGACCAGAACACAGUUGGAGGGCUGCAACGUUCGAGGUCUGGAUUUAGCGGCAGAGAUGGAGAUGGGGUUGCUGAGAGCACCUCCUCUAUCCUUUGUUUGGGGAUGGGGCUCUGGGCUGGAGUUCAAGGCUGUCCCAGGAGAGCCAAGCCCCAGCUAGUGACUGGUGUGUUUGCAAUUGUUUGUUCAGCAGCAGUCGCAAAUGGAUGCUAAAAGGCUUUGUGGUUCAUUGAUGGUCAUGCUCCUCUCCAUCCCAUUCUUCAUCCAUUUCUUGGGCGAGCCGCAAACUCUCCACUGGCAGCCCCUACCACUGCCCUCACUUGGCGCUGGGUCCUAAAUCCUGCCUGCUCACGGCCCUCUGCCUGCCAGCAAUCCUGAGGGUGGGUGCCCUUGCUCCAGGUCCCGUAUUUUGAAGACCCUUGGCAAGGCCAGGGCCUUGCUGGCCUUCUCCUCUGCUCCUGGCUUUCUGUCUGAGCUCAUAGAAACUGGGUGGUGGGUCCAUAUAGCAGCUGGUAUAGUCCAACAGAAUAAAUGGUUUAUUCAAGACAUCCACCAGGAGCUUAAUCACACAGAGAAAGGGGCCAUGGAGAGGAGUUGUUUGGAGCUCCAUUAUCAUUUUACUUGGGAUUUGUGGCCCCCCCAGUUUGGGGUCCAGUUGCUGAUUCUACUUCAAAGGCUGGAUGUGAAAUGACUGUGUGGGUGGAGAACAGGAACCCCCAUUUAAAAGCAAAAACAUAUUCUUCACAACUUGGCAUGGAGGCAGGGGAAAAGGAAACGAUGUCUUUUUGUUUGGUGGUGCCUUGAGAUAUUAUAUUAAUCUGUGCAUCUGCUGUGGCAUGGGUGAACCUUGAACAUUAUGCUCAGUGAAAGAAGCCAGCCACAAAGGACCACGUGUAGAAUGAAUCCAUUUAGAUGAAAUGUCAGAAUAAGCAAAUCCAUAGAGACAGAAAGUGGUUGCCAGGCACUGGGGGUAUGGGAGUACUGGGGAAUGAUGGCUAAGAGAUAUGGAGUUUUUUGGGGGGGGUGAUGUAAAUAUUCUAAACUUGACUCUAGUGAUGGUUGCACAGCUCUGUGAUUAUACUAGAAGUUGCUGAAUUAUACACUUUAAAUGGGUGAAUUGUAUGGUAUGCGAAGUAUGUUUCAAUAAAACUGUCAAAAAUAAGC
RNAcentral lists this long non-coding RNA (3272 nucleotides) under Homo sapiens (human). RNAcentral's name for it is "HSALNT0224140". The record is from RNAcentral. Lineage: Eukaryota; Metazoa; Chordata; Mammalia; Primates; Hominidae.